Molecule: ribosomal RNA, 458 nt
Filed under: uncultured bacterium
Lineage: Bacteria
Description: partial 16S ribosomal RNA
Rfam family: Bacterial small subunit ribosomal RNA
Source: RNAcentral
CCUACGGGGGGCAGCAGUGGGGAAUAUUGCACAAUGGGGGAAACCCUGAUGCAGCGACGCCGCGUGAGUGAAGAAGUAAUUCGUUACGUAAAGCUCUAUCAGCAGGGAAGAAACACUGACCUUACGGUCAGCAGACGGUACCUGAGUAAUAAGCCCCGGCUAACUACGUGCCAGCAGCCGCGGUAAUACGUAGGGGGCAAGCGUUAUCCGGAUUUACUGGGUGUAAAGGGAGCGUAGACGGUAUGGCAAGUCUGAAGUGAAAGCCCAGGGCUUAACCCUGGGACUGCUUUGGAAAUUGUUAGACUAGAGUGCGGGAGAGGUAAGUGGAAUUCCUAGUGUAGCGGUGAAAUGCGUAGAUAUUAGGAGGAACACCAGUGGCGAAGGCGGCUUACUGGACAGUAACUGACGUUGAGGCUCGAAAGCGUGGGGAGCAAACAGGAUUAGAUACCCUGGUAGUC